Tephrocybe sp. NHM501043 is the source of this 92-nucleotide non-coding RNA. The record is from the annotation of a GenBank genome assembly. Lineage: Eukaryota; Fungi; Basidiomycota; Agaricomycetes; Agaricales; Lyophyllaceae.
GCCCCUUUAGCUCAGUGGUAGAGCGUUGCACUUGUAGUCUUCUUCGGAAGCCUGUAAUGCAAAGGUCAUUCGUUCAAUCCGGGUAGGGGGCA